Molecule: transfer RNA, 71 nt
Filed under: Loxodonta africana (African savanna elephant)
Lineage: Eukaryota; Metazoa; Chordata; Mammalia; Proboscidea; Elephantidae
Rfam family: tRNA
About the family: Transfer RNA (tRNA) molecules are approximately 80 nucleotides in length. Their secondary structure includes four short double-helical elements and three loops (D, anti-codon, and T loops).
Source: Rfam by way of RNAcentral
GCAGUGGUGGUUCCGUAGUAGAAUUUGCACCUUCCAUGCAGAAGGCCCAGGUUUGAUUCCCGGCCAAUGCA